CGAUAUCAAUAAGCGGAGGAAAAGAAAAUAACAAUGAUUCCCCUAGUAACUGCGAGUGAAGAGGGACAAGCUCAAAUUUUAAAUCUGUUCGGUUCUACCUGACAGAGUUGUAAUUUAAAGAAACGUUUUCUGUGUCUUGAGUUAAUCAAAAUCCUUUGGAAUGAGGUAUCAUGGAGGGUGACAAUCCCGUUCAUGGUUAAUUCUAAGAUGCUUUAUGAUGCGUUUUCGAAGAGUCGAGUUGUUUGGGAUUGCAGCUCAAAAUGGGAGGUAAAUUUCUCCUAAGGCUAAAUAUUGGCGAGAGACCGAUAGCGAACAAGUACCGUGAGGGAAAGAUGAAAAGAACUUUGAAAAGAGAGUUAAACAGUACGUGAAAUUGUUGAAAGGGAAACGAUUGAAGUCAGUCGUACCAGCGGGAAAUCAACCUUUCGAGUGGGGUUUUGGAGUUUUGAAGUGUGUCAAAACCUUGAAGAUUUCAAAAUGUUCGCUCUUUUGGUGUACUUUCUCGCAGGUAGGUUAACAUCGAUUUUGAUUCAUCAUAAAAGGAUUGGAGGAAUGUAGCUUCGAUCUCGUAUUGAAGUGUUAUAGCCUUUGGUAAAUGUGAUGAUUAGGAUCGAGGAUUGCAACGAAUACCCUUUUGGGCUAUCCGCCUGAUCUCUGAUACGUGACCUUGGUAUUGAAAGCGUGCUUAUGAUAUUAAGGUAUUACGGUCAAAAGGUUAGAACGGAUUACAUUCGUUAAGGAUGUUGACGUA
Molecule: ribosomal RNA, 751 nt
Filed under: uncultured Glomus
Lineage: Eukaryota; Fungi; Glomeromycota; Glomeromycetes; Glomerales; Glomeraceae
Description: eukaryotic LSU rRNA
Rfam family: Eukaryotic large subunit ribosomal RNA
Source: RNAcentral